Molecule: unclassified non-coding RNA, 169 nt
Filed under: soil metagenome
Description: partial internal transcribed spacer 1
Source: RNAcentral
CAGAGUUGCAAAACUCCCUAAACCAUUGUGAACCUACCACUAGACAGUUGCUUCGGCGGGUGGCGCGAGGGCCCCUUCACGGGGGCAGGAGCGCCCCAGACAGCCCGCCGGAGGUACUCAAACUCUUGUUUACCACAGGCCUCUCUGAGUAUUGUACUUAAAUAAGUCA